AUUUAAAUAGUUUAAUUAAAAACUUUAAUUUGUGGAAUUAAAAUUAUAUAUAAAAUAUUUUAAAUU
RNAcentral lists this transfer RNA (66 nucleotides) under Fornicia albalata. RNAcentral's name for it is "tRNA-His". Lineage: Eukaryota; Metazoa; Arthropoda; Insecta; Hymenoptera; Braconidae. The record is from RNAcentral.